RNAcentral lists this ribosomal RNA (992 nucleotides) under uncultured archaeon. RNAcentral's name for it is "bacterial SSU rRNA". It matches the Rfam family "Archaeal small subunit ribosomal RNA", at positions 459 to 1451 of the family's 1478-position model. The record is from RNAcentral.
CAGCCGCCGCGGUAAUACCAGCUCUUCAAGUGGUCGGGAUAAUUAUUGGGCUUAAAGUGUCCGUAGCCGGUUUAGCAAGUUCCUGGUAAAAUCGGGUAGCUUAACUAUCUGUAUGCUAGGAAUACUGCUAUACUAGAGGGCGGGAGAGGUCUGAGGUACUACAGGGGUAGGGGUGAAAUCUUAUAAUCCUUGUAGGGCCACCAGUGGCGAAGGCGUCAGACUGGAACGCGCCUGACGGUGAGGGACGAAAGCCAGGGGAGCGAACCGGAUUAGAUACCCGGGUAGUCCUGGCCGUAAACGAUGCAUACUAGGUGAUGGUACGGCCAUGAGCCGUAUCAGUGCCGUAGGGAAACCGUUAAGUGUGCCGCCUGGGAAGUACGGUCGCAAGGCUAAAACUUAAAGGAAUUGGCGGGGGAGCACCACAAGGGGGUGAAGCCUGGCGUUCAAUUGGACUCAACGCCGGAAAACUUACCAGGGGAGACAGCAGUAUGACGGUCAGGUUGACGACCUUACCCGACGAGCUGAGAGGAAGUGCAUGGCCGUCGCCAGUUCGUGCCGUGAGGUAUCCUGUUAAGUCAGGCAACGAACGAGAUCCGCACCUUUAUUUGCCAACAAGAAGUCACGACUUCGUGGGAACACUAAAGGGACCGCCGUCGAUAAGACGGAGGAAGGAGCGGGCAAAGGCAGGUCAGUAUGCCCCGAAACCCCUGGGCUACACGCGGGCUGCAAUGGUAUGAACAAUGGGCUGUGACUCCGAAAGGAGAAACCAAUCCCGAAAAUCAUAUCUCAGUUGGAAUUGUCGGCUGUAACCCGCCGACAUGAACGUGGAAUCCCUAGUAAUCGUGUGUCAUCAUCGCACGGUGAAUACGUCUCUGCUCCUUGCACACACCGCCCGUCGCUCCAUCCGAGUGUGCUAAAAAUGAGGUUUGGUCAAUUUGGUCAUAUCGAGUUCUAGUAUGCGAGGAGGGAGAAGUCGUAACAAGGUAACCGUA